Long non-coding RNA from Callithrix jacchus (white-tufted-ear marmoset), 538 nucleotides. RefSeq lists it as uncharacterized. Lineage: Eukaryota; Metazoa; Chordata; Mammalia; Primates; Cebidae. The record is from RefSeq and is a predicted model, not a curated record.
CCGCCCACUUCGCCCACCGCCUCAAGUCGUCAGUUCUGUCUCGCCUCGCCUUCCUGUUGCGGUCUUCUGCGUCUCAGUCUCCAACUUUCGAGUUUUCUUGCCUUUUUUUGCUCUGAGUUGAGUCCCUACCGGGUCCUUUAGAUCCGCGGUCACGGGGGACGGUGGAGUUUAGAACCUGUUACCCAUCUCUGAACCAAGAAAACAUUGGCAAGGAAAAUGGAAUUGCUGUGAUUGAUUUAGUUAAUCUAAGCCAACCACUGGCAGCCCGCCUAUAUGACAGCUAACCUUAAGGGAGGAAACUGAUGCUUAAAGAAGUUAAUUAUCCAACAUCAUAAAACUACAUUACUCACAAUAGCAAAGACUUGGAACCAACCCUAAUGCCCAUCGAUGAUAGAAUGGAUAAAGAAAAUGUGAAGAUAUACACCAUGGAAUAUUAUGCAACCACAAAAAAUGAGUUCAUGUCCUUUGCAGGGACAUGGAUUAAGCUGGAAACCAUCAUUCUCAGCAAACUAAUACAGGAACAGAAAACCAAACACCA